Molecule: ribosomal RNA, 705 nt
Filed under: uncultured bacterium
Lineage: Bacteria
Description: bacterial SSU rRNA
Rfam family: Bacterial small subunit ribosomal RNA
Source: RNAcentral
AGUGGCGAACGGGUGAGUAAUAUAUCGGAACGUGCCCAAUCGUGGGGGAUAACGUAGAGAAAUUUACGCUAAUACCGCAUAAGAUCUAAGGAUGAAAGCGGGGGACCCGUAAGGGCCGCGCGAUUGGAGCGGCUGAUAUCAGAUUAGGUAGUUGGUGUGGUAAAAGCGCACCAAGCCGACGAUCUGUAGCUGGUUUGAGAGAACGACCAGCCACACUGGGACUGAGACACGGCCCAGACUCCUACGGGAGGCAGCAGUGGGGAAUUUUGGACAAUGGGCGAAAGCCUGAUCCAGCAAUGCCGCGUGCAGGAAGAAGGCCUUCGGGUUGUAAACUGCUUUUGUACGGAACGAAACGGUGCUCUUUAAUAAAGAGUGCUAAUGACGGUACCGUAAGAAUAAGCACCGGCUAACUACGUGCCAGCAGCCGCGGUAAUACGUAGGGUGCGAGCGUUAAUCGGAAUUACUGGGCGUAAAGCGUGCGCAGGCGGUUAUAUAAGACAGUUGUGAAAUCCCUGGGCUCAACCUAGGAAUUGCAUCUGUGACUGUAUAGCUAGAGUACGGUAGAGGGGGAUGGAAUUCCGCGUGUAGCAGUGAAAUGCGUAGAUAUGCGGAGGACACGAUGGCGAAGGCAUCCCCUGGACUGUACUGACGCUCAUGCACGAAAGCGUGGGAGCAACAGGAUAGAUACCUGUAGGUCCACGCCCA